RNAcentral lists this ribosomal RNA (741 nucleotides) under uncultured bacterium. RNAcentral describes it as "bacterial SSU rRNA". It matches the Rfam family "Bacterial small subunit ribosomal RNA", at positions 125 to 882 of the family's 1533-position model. The record is from RNAcentral.
CCUGCCUCAAAGAGGGGGACAACAGUUGGAAACGACUGCUAAUACCGCAUAAGCCCACGGCUCGGCAUCGAGCAGGGGGAAAAGGAGCAAUCCGCUUUGAGAUGGCCUCGCGUCUGAUUAGCUAGUUGGUGAGGUAACGGCCCACCAAGGCGACGAUCGGUAGCCGGACUGAGAGGUUGAACGGCCACAUUGGGACUGAGACACGGCCCAGACUCCUACGGGAGGCAGCAGUGGGGAAUAUUGCACAAUGGGGGGAACCCUGAUGCAGCGACGCCGCGUGGAGGAAGAAGGUCUUCGGAUUGUAAACUCCUGUUGUUGAGGAAGAUAAUGACGGUACUCAACAAGGAAGUGACGGCUAACUACGUGCCAGCAGCCGCGGUAAAACGUAGGUCACAAGCGUUGUCCGGAAUUACUGGGUGUAAAGGGAGCGCAGGCGGGAGAACAAGUUGGAAGUGAAAUCCAUGGGCUCAACCCAUGAACUGCUUUCAAAACUGUUUUUCUUGAGUAGUGCAGAGGUAGGUGGAAUUCCCGGUGUAGCGGUGGAAUGCGUAGAUAUCGGGAGGAACACCAGUGGCGAAGGCGGCCUACUGGGCACCAACUGACGCUGAGGCUCGAAAGUGUGGGUAGCAAACAGGAUUAGAUACCCUGGUAGUCCACACCGUAAACGAUGAUUACUAGGUGUUGGAGGAUUGACCCCUUCAGUGCCGCAGUUAACACAAUAAGUAAUCCACCUGGGGAGUA